RNAcentral lists this ribosomal RNA (500 nucleotides) under uncultured bacterium. RNAcentral's name for it is "partial 16S ribosomal RNA". It matches the Rfam family "Bacterial small subunit ribosomal RNA", at positions 30 to 523 of the family's 1533-position model. The record is from RNAcentral.
AUUGAACGCUGGCGGAAUGCUUUACACAUGCAAGUCGAACGGCAGCACGGACUUCGGUCUGGUGGCGAGUGGCGAACGGGUGAGUAAUGUAUCGGAACGUGCCCAGUCGUGGGGGAUAACGUAGUGAAAAUUACGCUAAUACCGCAUACGAUCUAUGGAUGAAAGCGGGGGAUCGCAAGACAUCGCGCGAUUGGAGCGGCCGAUAUCAGAUUAGGUAGUUGGUGGGGUAAAGGGCCACCAAGCCAACGAUCUGUAGCUGGUCUGAGAGGACGACCAGCCACACUGGAACUGAGACACGGUCCAGACUCCUACGGGAGGCAGCAGUGGGGAAUUUUGGACAAUGGGCGAAAGCCUGAUCCAGCCAUUCCGCGUGCAGGAUGAAGGCCCUCGGGUUGUAAACUGCUUUUGUACAGAACGAAAAGGUUUCUACUAAUACUAGGAGCUCAUGACGGUACUGUAAGAAUAAGCACCGGCUAACUACGUGCCAGCCGCCGCAGUAA